Molecule: long non-coding RNA, 1815 nt
Organism: Eriocheir sinensis (Chinese mitten crab)
Lineage: Eukaryota; Metazoa; Arthropoda; Malacostraca; Decapoda; Varunidae
Exons: 6
Source: RefSeq, a predicted model, not a curated record
CAAGGCUAAAAACCACAAUGGCGAGAAGGCAAACUUUGAGGAGUCUUCUCAUACUCCUCAUACUUACCAGUGACGUGCUCGCCCACGUCAUCAAGAUACAAAAUGGUGUAGGGUGGUCGGAGUCCUUCCGAGUUCCAGCUGGCCCUGGACACUCGAUGGACUCUGACCUGCAGGACCUUCCCUCCGUUAAGGACACGGUGGAAUCCAGCUUGGCAUCUCGCGAGGUGCUGGCGAGGUUCCUCCGUGUCGCGGACAGCAACGGACUGCACUCUGGCCCUGGUCUCGAGACGAUUCGAGACCGAGCCAGGCAGGCGAAAAUCGCGGCGGGCGUUUUAAGUGGGAUAAUCCACCGCCGGAAGAGGGCCCUGGGUGACACGGAUAACGAAGGUCUUACGCCUAACUGGUUCUCUCGCCUGGCCGAGAGGAACGUUAUCUUUAUCACCAGGGUCUUCAGGUCUCGGCGGUGGGGGAGGUACAGGUACACGAUGAGUGUGUCCUCCCUCAUACUCUUGGUGUCCACCAUCACGCAAGUGUACCUGGACAGGCAAGGUAUGGGGGAUAUCGGCGACACCUCGACUUACCUGGAUUUCUACUGGCUCCUGUACGACGUACUUAAUGAGGUCAAAGAGUUUGCGGACUUGAAUUGCUAUUACCCCACCUAUUGGCCCGCCGCGUUGCUCGCCCCCGACCACUGCAAUCCCUACCGCCUGGUGGAGGAGACCCGCCGUGCCUUGGAAAACAGAGGUGGUGAAAUUCUGACAGAAUUUAGGUCAUUUACUAAAUCUGGGGAUUUGGUGUUGAGGAUAAAAAAUAUCGUGCUUGAGAGACUUUAAGAAAUGACCUCUUUGUUAGUGUCUUCCUAACAUUAUUUUUUAUCUGCGGCAACUAAGUCUCCUGGAAAGUGACGCCUGAAUUGUGUUUAAACUUCCUGCCUCGGGAUUUCCAAGGCUUGCGUGCGGUGUUCCCUCCACCAGGCGGAUGGGAUGAUGGGAUCCAAACCCGUUGCUGACUCCACAGAGUGGAAGGAACUGCCUGCACCUCCUUUGUUUCUGCGGUAACGUGCGGGGAGGAAAUUUAAGCAGCCAUUGCUGCCAUCCGGGGUUGUGAGGACUGACCUGAAGGACCUUCCCUCCAUGAUGGUCACGGUGGAAUCCAUCCUGAUAACACAGAUGCUCCUCCCCAUGCUGACUUGGGCAACGAAAGCCACUGCCCCGCCACGGGAGUGAGAGGAACUGACCUGAACAUCGCCUUCCUGCUUGCUGUAGGGAAAGCCUCUGCUGCUGGCCCUGCUGGAGAAAGUCUACCGUCUACGUCAUUGUGCACCAGUACCCAAGACGGCCAGGCAGCUGGGAGCACAAGCCACCACAGUGUGAAAGGAAGUCUGCACCCACGCGGUCAUUCUCCAAAAUGGCGCAUCGAGUCGGUUGUUCCCUGAAUCCCCUGCAAAGCCUUCUCUCUGUGAUGGCCACGGUGGAAUCUAACAUGAUGGCACAGCCGCUGGCGAGUGUUGGAGUCUGACUACUCUGUACAAGGUUGUGCACAACUAUAGCGACGGAAUGGAUCACAUUAUACACUUGGGUGCCGAUGAACACUGCUAUUACCCGACAUACUGGCCCGUCUCGUUGCUCGCCCCUGACCACUGCAACCAACACUGCCUUCGAUAGAGCCUUUGCUGCCACCAGGGGUGGGUGGGUGGAGCCUGGCCUGGACCUCCCCUUCAUGCUGUUCCUGCUGGAGAAAGUCUACCUCCCCUUAAUGAUCCUCCUGGAGAAAGUCUACCUUCCCUUCCUGGUGAAUUCAGUUUGAACUUCAACC